Long non-coding RNA from Drosophila miranda, 420 nucleotides. RefSeq lists it as uncharacterized. The transcript is spliced from 2 exons. The record is from RefSeq and is a predicted model, not a curated record. Lineage: Eukaryota; Metazoa; Arthropoda; Insecta; Diptera; Drosophilidae.
AGUUUUUGUUUUGUAUAUGGAAAUCAUCAAGUAGACAUUGAAAUCUACAACUAACAAUAGUUUCGGGCCAGUCUGACUUUCCCAAUUUCCGCCCACAGUAGAGACCAUAAGCCAAAGAUCAUGCCCUGCUGCAGACGCUUCUGUCGAGCCUGUCGUCGCUGGUACUGUACCAGAAGCCUGAAGUCGAGCUGUGGGGCCUAUCGUGGCCCCUGUUCCGGACCGUGCGGGGGCCCCUGCUAUGGCGAAAGCUGUGGAACCUGCUGUGGCAACUGCUCCUGCUGCUGUGUGAUUUGCUCUAGUGGCCUCGGAACGUGUGGCCAGCCCUGCUGUAGAUCCUACAUCUGAUGGAUCUAUAAGGAGUUUGGACUUUACUGUGUGUGCAAAUUGGGGACUCUUGUGAAAAUGUAAUCUGAAAAUGUU